Molecule: long non-coding RNA, 1338 nt
Organism: Mastomys coucha (southern multimammate mouse)
Lineage: Eukaryota; Metazoa; Chordata; Mammalia; Rodentia; Muridae
Exons: 6
Source: RefSeq, a predicted model, not a curated record
CAGCAACAACAGCAACAGCAACAGCAGCAACAGCAACAGCAGCAGCAGCAACAACAGCAACAACAGCAGCUUACAUUGUUUUGGGAGUCUUUUGAACUCUCCUGACCAUGGCUGGAAGGAAGUUUCUUUUAGCUGGCACUGGAGUGUUGUUAGAUCAUCUAUGACUCUUGUAGAAUCACUGUCACUCUUCAUGGCAUAACUCUCUCUGUGUGUGUGUGAGAGAGAGAGAGAGGGGGGAGAGAUGUGUAUUUGAGUUGGAUCCAUUGGAGAGUGGAGAUCUACCUGGUCCCAGCAGCUGCACAGACUGAGGACCUGAAGACCCACGGGACUCAGCCCACUGCCUGUGAAGAGGCACAGCCAAACUGGGAAUUGAUUUGAAUGUAAUGAACCUUCUGUCUCAUCUGGCACUUUCAGAAGAAUCUGCAGAGUCAAUAGCUGCUCUUUGGAUCCAGAUGUGGAACUACCUCUCCAGUACCCUGUCUGCCUGCAGGCUUCUGUGCUUCCUACUGUGAGGACACUGUACUAAACCUCUGAAAUGGGAUCACCGUUUCCCCUGAGAUAAUGGGAAUUUCAUAUAGCUCUAAAUUACUUUACGAGAGCCUCGCCCGAACCCGAAGUACACCAGAUCCUAAAAUAUUCAGUGAUGUACCAAAUCAAGAAUUUAUGAAUUCAGCAUCUUACCGCAGGGGCAAGACUCUGUUUCCAGCCUUCUUUGCUCCUUGAGAGAAGGGCAGAACUCAGAAUUCAGGGAAUAUUAAAGUAGGACGCUCCCUUUCCUUCCCAUCAGGGAGGAGCAAGGUGGGAAGAAGAGACAGCAAGAAAAGGGAUGGAGCAAGGCAGAAGGCUGGAUAUUGAAUAUAUAUGUAGCUCCCAGCAACCACGUUUAUUACUUGGAAUUGAAAAUUUGUUCUUUGAAAUAUCAAAGCCAAAUCUUUUUUUCUUUUAUUGUGUUUAUGGAUAUUGAAAUAUUGGAUAUAUGGAUAUCGAAGUAAUAGCUUCAUCAUCCUGGUGUCCUAGCAUGCGGGCUUGUAAGUGCUCCUGUGUGCAUGUGUGUGUGGAGGAGAGAGGUCAGGUGUAGAGAGUCCUCCUCACUUGCCUCCUACCUUAACUUUUGCAUCAGAGGAUCUCACUGAAUUUAGGAUUUUGUGACUCAACUCUGGCCAGAAAUUCCAGAGCACCCUUCUGUUCCUAUUCUCCAGAGACAGGAUGACAGGCAAUUACUGCUGUACCUAGGUGCUAGGGACUGAGCUCAAGAGUUCAUGGUCACAUAGCAAGAACUCUCUAUAGAUGUAUUUUUGUAUUUUUGAUCAAUUUAAGGUAAUAAAUAAAUAAUAUAUA